ACAGGGCACAGUGGCGCGUGCCUGUAGUCCCAGCUACUCAGGAGGCUGAGGUGGGAGGAUCACUUGAGCCCAGGAGUUCUGGGCUGUAGUACGUUAUGCCGAUAGGGUGUCCACACUAAGCUUGGCAUCAAUAUAGUGACUUCCCGGGAGUGGAGGAUCACCAGGUUGCCUAAGGAGGGGUGAACCCGCCCUGGUGGGAAAUGGAGCAGGUCAAAACUCCGGUGCUGAUCAGUAGUGGGAUUGCGCCUGUGAAUAGCCACUGCACUCCAGCCUGGGCAACAUCCCGAGACCCCUUCUCU
This 299-nucleotide signal recognition particle RNA is filed under the name Saimiri boliviensis boliviensis (Bolivian squirrel monkey). RNAcentral describes it as "Metazoan signal recognition particle RNA (ENSSBOG00000014920.1)". It matches the Rfam family "Metazoan signal recognition particle RNA". From Rfam's summary of the family: The signal recognition particle (SRP) is a universally conserved ribonucleoprotein. The record is from RNAcentral. Lineage: Eukaryota; Metazoa; Chordata; Mammalia; Primates; Cebidae.